Molecule: non-coding RNA, 65 nt
Organism: Pseudomonas sp. Bc-h
Lineage: Bacteria; Pseudomonadati; Pseudomonadota; Gammaproteobacteria; Pseudomonadales; Pseudomonadaceae
Source: Rfam
GGGUCGAGCCGCAUGGAUGCGGCGAGAGGCGUGUGGGCCAUGGAUGGCCCAUUCACGCCGGGCCC